GAGGGACUGCUGAGAAUAUUUGCUCAGUUCAGACAAAUGAUAAGUGUGUCGGCCACUCUAAUGAAAUGAGUACAUUUUUGCUCUAAAUGUCAUGGAUGUUUAUUAUCAGAUUAAACUACAGCAGACCUAAUUUUAGCUCUUCCAAUUCAAGUGGAGCAAUGAAGAUUAAAUGUUAGGCAUAAUUAAAGAUGCAGAUGUAGUUUUAUUGAAUUAUAAACCUCAUUAAGUGCAACGUCCCAGGAAAGCCCCUGAGACCAGCUACAAAGAACUCCUAGUUGCAACACUGUGGUUACUAAAAUAUUGUAAAGUAAAUCUCACUCCAAAAAUAUUAUGACUUGGAUGGAAGGAGUUUUUAAAAGCAUGGUUAGAGUUGGUUUCAUGGGUAAUUUCCUUGCAGAUGGUCGGGAAGGAAACACUUUUCUUCAGCAUCUCCACAGAAGGCCUCCUUGGGGCUUGGUGCUCCCGUCUCAGCCUCCAAAGGUGGGCUCCAGUCUCCUGGGUCAGUUAGAAGGGCAACUUCAAGGACCAUCAGAUUUCACUCAAGAGUUGGUGGUGGAUUUGUCUGUCUCCUUGUUUGGAAUGUGAGAGAAGUUUAAUAUCUUGACAGCAUGGUCUGUCACUUAACAGCUGUAUGAACUUGGGUAAGUUAGGUAACCUCUCUGGCCUCAGUUUCCUCAUCUGUCAAAUGGGAUAAUACAUAAUGGUAUUGACCCCAUAGUUUUUUUCUGAAGAUUGAACGAGUUGAUCUUUGUACAGCACCGGGCACAUCGUGAAGACUCAGUAAAUGUGAGCGGCUACCAUCACCACCACCAC
Bos indicus x Bos taurus (hybrid cattle) is the source of this 813-nucleotide long non-coding RNA. Lineage: Eukaryota; Metazoa; Chordata; Mammalia; Artiodactyla; Bovidae. The record is from Ensembl.